RNAcentral lists this ribosomal RNA (253 nucleotides) under uncultured bacterium. Its description in RNAcentral is "partial 16S ribosomal RNA". It matches the Rfam family "Bacterial small subunit ribosomal RNA", at positions 524 to 776 of the family's 1533-position model. The record is from RNAcentral.
UACGAAGGGUGCAAGCGUUAUUCGGAAUCAUUGGGCGUAAAGCGCGCGCAGGCGGAUCAGCAAGUCAGGUGUGAAAUCUCGAAGCUCAGCUUCGAAACUGCGCCUGAAACUGCUAGUCUAGAGUGUCGGAGGGGGUAGGGGAAUUUCACGUGUAGGGGUAAAAUCCGUAGAGAUGUGAAGGAACACCGGAGGCGAAGGCGCCUACCUGGACGACUACUGACGCUGAGGCGCGAAAGCGUGGGGAGCAAACAGG